This 693-nucleotide long non-coding RNA is filed under the name Nicotiana benthamiana. Its description in RNAcentral is "long non-coding RNA (NBEN_LNC038258)". The record is from RNAcentral. Lineage: Eukaryota; Viridiplantae; Streptophyta; Magnoliopsida; Solanales; Solanaceae.
UUAUCAGCACGAAUCUCUAUUAUCUCAAGAAUCUCUUUGAGAAAAUUAAGAUUACACAUUCAUCUUCUCAUCUCAAAUCACUAGCCAAACUAGCCCGUCGACCAAACACCUCCCUACGCAACAGACCGCUAUUACGUCCUUCACCACACACCUGAACAGCCACCAUUCUCUCGCCACCUCAAAGCCAUCGGACCUCACUGCUGUUCCUAGCAGCAACAGCGUGAAAGAGCAACAAAUGGGGUUCGAACUUGGAAGAGUAUCCAUUGAUGUCCGUAUGAGGUUUCCGGUCCGUAUCUAUGAGCUCGAAGCAACGCUACUCCAUUCACUCGUAUUUCGGAAUAGUUCGUUGUAAGUGCGGUUGAGAUUUCUUUAUAAAUAUUGAAGAAAGCAAUUUUCAGGUUCAUCUCUUUUCUCCUUUACUAUUGAUUUCGCUUGUUUCUGCUUUACUGCUCAUGAUUUCAGUGUUGAUGGUUUGAUCAAAUUUGUCCAUUACUGUUAAAUCUAUCGUUUGGGUUUGAACAGUGACGAAGGUGUCUAGUGUAGAUCUGCACUUAUGAUUACAAGCAUUCUGUUCUUUGUAAAAUAAGAGAAAAUAACAAUUUUGGAUGAAUAGUUGUGUGGUUUGUUGUUCGAAAUUUAAGUGUUGAAACUUUCUGUUUAUAAUUUUUCUUACUUUCUUUGUUAAUUAAAAAA